CGGACGGGUGAGUAAUGUCUGGGAAACUGCCCGAUGGAGGGGGAUAACUACUGGAAACGGUAGCUAGUACCGCAUAACGUCGCAAGACCAAAGAGGGGGACCUUCGGGCCUCUUGCCAUCGGAUGUGCCCAGAUGGGAUUAGCUAGUAGGUGGGGUAACGGCUCACCUAGGCGACGAUCCCUAGCUGGUCUGAGAGGAUGAUCAGCCACACUGGAACUGAGACACGGUCCAG
RNAcentral lists this ribosomal RNA (232 nucleotides) under uncultured bacterium. RNAcentral describes it as "partial 16S ribosomal RNA". It matches the Rfam family "Bacterial small subunit ribosomal RNA", at positions 99 to 334 of the family's 1533-position model. The record is from RNAcentral.